CAACGCCAUGUGUUAUUAUUCCAAACACAAGUGGUAACCGAUUUUCAGCCUGUUAAACAUUUGAAACUAAGUCAUCUCCAACGUGAAAUCAGGCCAAACUUCUCGUGACGGAUUGCUGAUUAUGACACCAUGACAACAUGAGAACAAGUAGCAUACUGGUAACCUUGAAAAUGUACUGAAACCUCAAAGUUCUGCAGAGAAUGUUCUCUUUGGAAAAAUGUAGGGUUGCAGUAUCAGCAAGGAACCACAAGAGGCUUAUGGUACUCUCUACGAUCCACGCACAACUUACCACACGCCCCAUUGAGAGCAAGAACCACUAAUUGCGACCAUGAGGAGGUUACCCCAUGUGACUCUACCCUCCCUAGCAACCGUGCUUAGGAGACCUGGCUGGAGUCACUCAGCACAUCCUGGAUUCUAACUUGUGAAUCCAGGGGUGGUAGUUGGCGUCAACUCGAUGAGCUACCCAGCCCCCCAUGUUUACAUUUAUAAUUGUUUGUAGAUCUUAAUUUGUAUUAGUAAUUUUCCACCUGUUGUAUAGACUGUUGGUAUAGACGGAUACUUGGGUGAUGGUAAAAGAAAAGGUGGUUAUAUGUAUAUAUAUAAUUUAUUAUGUAUAUAUUUUAUUUUUGACCACUUCAUUAUUUUAAUUGCUUUUUCAUUUUGUUUAAAGUACAGUUUGAAUUUAGAAAUGUCUUUGGUUUAAGAUUGUUUUAAAUAAAUGAGUUUAAUUUUCAAUGCAAAAUCACUAAAGCAAGAAUAUUCACCAAUCCCUCAGCUGGGGGUUGACAAUGUAAUUGGAUA
Molecule: long non-coding RNA, 801 nt
Organism: Xyrauchen texanus (razorback sucker)
Lineage: Eukaryota; Metazoa; Chordata; Actinopteri; Cypriniformes; Catostomidae
Exons: 3
Source: RefSeq, a predicted model, not a curated record